This 995-nucleotide long non-coding RNA is filed under the name Mus musculus (house mouse). Its description in RNAcentral is "long non-coding RNA chr6:88519012-88520007". Lineage: Eukaryota; Metazoa; Chordata; Mammalia; Rodentia; Muridae. The record is from RNAcentral.
AAAUCAGCCCUUGUUACUAGUGGACGCUUCGUGGUGGUGUUGGCCCUACGAAGCAGGCGAUUCGGCUUUCCGUGUCGGUGGCCCUCAGUACCAGUGAUAGCAUGUCGCGACCCAGUAGGCCUCAGCUGCUGCUCGUCACGCACGACAGAGCAGCAGUGUGCUGAAUCCUACCCUGCAUGGCUUACCCUACCCUACAAUACCCUCCUGGGUGCUGUAGGCUGCCUCCAAGGAUGUCUGAGCUCAUGCAUUUGAGGACGUUCGGCAAAGGCCGGGUCUGGCGGCUCUGGGUGGGCUUUGGCGCAGCGCAUUCCAAGAAGGCCUUUGGAACUGGAGAGUUAGGAGAGAUGAAGAAACCGAGCCAAGCCUUGCAGCCCCAUAUCUUCAGGGAAAAGAAUACAUCUGGGCUGGAGGAAAGGGUGUGCGAAGGGGACUGGGCAAGGUGGGGCAACAUGAAACUUACUCUUUAGUGGGAUCUCUGAUCUCAGUGCUGUGUGCUGUCUGAAAUCGACUUCUUGCUGUGCACCCUGAGUGCUGAGUUUCAUGCAGCCAAGUCCUGACUUCAACGGAGAGGUUUGCUGUGGCCACGUCCUUAGAAACAUUCUAGACAGCCAGCCCCAUGUCAUUGAUAGGACAUUUAUAUUUAAUUUGGCAUUAAGUUGCAUGUGCGUACACAAAUAUAGAUGGGUUUAGGGGAAAGCACUAAGUCAAUAUACUUAGCACAAUGUGAGGUUUUUGUUUUCGAUUCUUUAAGCUAGGUCUCUAGGUAGCCCUCGAUACCACUAUGUAGACUAGGCUGGCUUCAGAUUCACAGAGAUCCCACCUGACUGCUCUGAGUGCUGGGACUAGCCGUGCAUGUGCCACCACAGCAGGCCACAAUGUGAGGUUUUUGAAACAGAGGUGCAGUGUUUUUGCAUGUACACAUUUUAAAGAUUUAAUUAUUAAAUAUUAGAGACAGAUGCCUAAAGAGACAAUAAAAUCUAAAUGAAGUUUUGAUU